AUACGGAGGGUACGAGCGUUGUUCGGAAUUACUGGGCGUAAAGCGCGUGUAGGCGGCCGUAAAAGUCGGGUGUGAAAUCCCGGGGCUCAACCCCGGAACUGCACCCGAAACUAUACGGCUAGAGUCCCGGAGGGGGUGGCGGAAUUUCCGGUGUAGAGGUGAAAUUCGUAGAUAUCGGAAGGAACACCAGUGGCGAAGGCGGCCACCUGGACGGUGACUGACGCUGAGAUGCGAAAGCGUGGGGAGCAAACAGGAUUAGAAACCCCAGUAGUCC
This 274-nucleotide ribosomal RNA is filed under the name uncultured bacterium. RNAcentral describes it as "partial 16S ribosomal RNA". It matches the Rfam family "Bacterial small subunit ribosomal RNA", at positions 523 to 796 of the family's 1533-position model. The record is from RNAcentral.